This 252-nucleotide ribosomal RNA is filed under the name uncultured bacterium. Its description in RNAcentral is "partial 16S ribosomal RNA". It matches the Rfam family "Bacterial small subunit ribosomal RNA", at positions 524 to 776 of the family's 1533-position model. The record is from RNAcentral.
UACAGAGGUCCCAAGCGUUGUUCGGAUUCACUGGGCGUAAAGGGUGCGUAGGCGGUCGGGUAAGUCUGAUGUGAAAUCUCACAGCUUAACUGUGAAACUGCAUUGGAUACUAUUCGGCUUGAGAGUUGGAGGGGGACUGGAAUUCUUGGUGUAGCAGUGAAAUGCGUAGAUAUCAAGAGGAACACCAGUGGCGAAGGCGACAUCCUGGACCGGUAUUGACGCUGAGGCGCGAAAGCCAGGGGAGCAAACGGG